RNAcentral lists this ribosomal RNA (472 nucleotides) under uncultured bacterium. RNAcentral describes it as "partial 16S ribosomal RNA". It matches the Rfam family "Bacterial small subunit ribosomal RNA", at positions 28 to 507 of the family's 1533-position model. The record is from RNAcentral.
GACGAACGCUGGCGGCGUGCUUAACACAUGCAAGUCGAACGCUGAAGCUUGGUGCUUGCACUGGGUGGAUGAGUGGCGAACGGGUGAGUAAUACGUGAGUAACCUGCCCUUGACUCUGGGAUAAGCCAGGGAAACUGGGUCUAAUACUGGAUAUGACAUGCCACUGCAUGGUGGUGUGUGGAAAGGGUUUUACUGGUUUUGGAUGGGCUCACGGCCUAUCAGCUUGUUGGUGGGGUAAUGGCCUACCAAGGCGACGACGGGUAGCCGGCCUGAGAGGGUGACCGGCCACACUGGGACUGAGACACGGCCCAGACUCCUACGGGAGGCAGCAGUGGGGAAUAUUGCACAAUGGGCGGAAGCCUGAUGCAGCGACGCCGCGUGAGGGAUGACGGCCUUCGGGUUGUAAACCUCUUUCAGCACGGAAGAAGCGAGAGUGACGGUACGUGCAGAAGAAGCGCCGGCUAACUACGUG